CCUGUGGCACCUUAUUUUUUAUUUUUUUACGUGCCAGUGUUGCCAUGGCGCAUGUCUCUAUCGACACGGUUAAUUUAAUUAGUGAAAAGAGGUGCUUAUGAUAUUGUGUUUUUAGUGAUGUGUUAUUGAAUUUUUUUAAGGAAUUUUACUGAUUUUGGAUGCGUUUUGGGAUUUUCUUUGGGAUUAAGCCAUGCCGACGCGGGACUACAAGCGACGGAAAUAAGUAGCACCAUGAAUCCCGCCCAUGCGCGGUAAACAUGCGCGACCGAGGGAGGCGGGGCCAUGGAGUACGUGCCCAACAACCCGCAGUUCGGGCUGGCGGAGUUCUGCCAGGGCCACGGAUGCUGCGACCCUCUGCAGCCUUGCUCUUGCGUGCUCAGGGACUUCCAGGACGACUGCUGUCAGCAAGAAAACGAAAACUGCUGCCCAGAAAAUGGCGAAGAACU
Molecule: long non-coding RNA, 446 nt
Organism: Ostrinia nubilalis (European corn borer)
Lineage: Eukaryota; Metazoa; Arthropoda; Insecta; Lepidoptera; Crambidae
Exons: 3
Source: RefSeq, a predicted model, not a curated record